GACGAACGCUGGCGGCGUGCCUAACACAUGCAAGUCGAACGGAAAGGCCCUGCUUUUGUGGGGUGCUCGAGUGGCGAACGGGUGAGUAACACGUGAGUAACCUGCCCUUGACUUUGGGAUAACUUCAGGAAACUGGGGCUAAUACCGGAUAGGAGCUCCUGCUGCAUGGUGGGGGUUGGAAAGUUUCGGCGGUUGGGGAUGGACUCGCGGCUUAUCAGCUUGUUGGUGGGGUAGUGGCUUACCAAGGCUUUGACGGGUAGCCGGCCUGAGAGGGUGACCGGCCACAUUGGGACUGAGAUACGGCCCAGACUCCUACGGGAGGCAGCAGUGGGGAAUAUUGCACAAUGGGCGGAAGCCUGAUGCAGCAACGCCGCGUGCGGGAUGACGGCCUUCGGGUUGUAAACCGCUUUCGCCUGUGACGAAGCGUGAGUGACGGUAAUGGGUAAAGAAGCACCGGCUAACUACGUGCCGGCAGCCGCGGUGAUACGUAGGGUGCGAGCGUUGUCCGGAUUUAUUGGGCGUAAAGGGCUCGUAGGUGGUUGAUCGCGUCGGAAGUGUAAUCUUGGGGCUUAACCCUGAGCGUGCUUUCGAUACGGGUUGACUUGAGGAAGGUAGGGGAGAAUGGAAUUCCUGGUGGAGCGGUGGAAUGCGCAGAUAUCAGGAGGAACACCAGUGGCGAAGGCGGUUCUCUGGGCCUUUCCUGACGCUGAGGAGCGAAAGCGUGGGGAGCGAACAGGCUUAGAUACCCUGGUAGUCCACGCUGUAAACGGUGGGUACUAGGUGUGGGGUCCAUUCCACGGGUUCCGUGCCGUAGCUAACGCUUUAAGUACCCCGCCUGGGGAGUACGGCCGCAAGGCUAAAACUCAAAGGAAUUGACGGGGCCCCGCACAAGCGGCGGAGCAUGCGGAUUAAUUCGAUGCAACGCGUAGAACCUUACCUGGGUUUGACAUGGAUCGGGAGCGCUCAGAGAUGGGUGUGCCUCUUUUGGGGUCGGUUCACAGGUGGUGCAUGGCUGUCGUCAGCUCGUGUCGUGAGAUGUUGGGUUAAGUCCCGCAACGAGCGCAACCCUUGUUCACUGUUGCCAGCACGUUAUGGUGGGGACUCAGUGGAGACCGCCGGGGUCAACUCGGAGGAAGGUGGGGAUGACGUCAAGUCAUCAUGCCCCUUAUGUCCAGGGCUUCACGCAUGCUACAAUGGCUGGUACAGAGAGUGGCGAGCCUGUGAGGGUGAGCGAAUCUCGGAAAGCCGGUCUCAGUUCGGAUUGGGGUCUGCAACUCGACCUCAUGAAGUCGGAGUCGCUAGUAAUCGCAGAUCAGCAACGCUGCGGUGAAUACGUUCCCGGGGCU
RNAcentral lists this ribosomal RNA (1346 nucleotides) under uncultured bacterium. Its description in RNAcentral is "bacterial SSU rRNA". It matches the Rfam family "Bacterial small subunit ribosomal RNA", at positions 28 to 1381 of the family's 1533-position model. The record is from RNAcentral.